RNAcentral lists this unclassified non-coding RNA (282 nucleotides) under uncultured fungus. RNAcentral's name for it is "sequence contains ITS1, 5.8S rRNA gene". The stretch from base 234 to 282 matches the Rfam family "5.8S ribosomal RNA", at positions 1 to 49 of the family's 154-position model. The record is from RNAcentral. Lineage: Eukaryota; Fungi.
UUUCCGUAGGUGAACCUGCGGAAGGAUCAUUAAAUAAUUUGAUAAUUACACAAUUAUCUAAUUUACUGUGAACUGUUUUAAUUAUGACGCAUAAGGGGAUGACUAUAUACCAUAGGGUAGGUAUAUAGAAUGUUAACCUAGUCAUAGUCAAGCUUGAUGCUUGGUACCCAUUAUUAUUUACCAAAAGAAUUCAGAUUAAAUAAUGUAACAUAGAUCUAAACAAUCUAUAAAACAACUUUUAACAACGGAUCUCUUGGUUCUCGCAUCGAUGAAGAACGCAGC